GGAUGAACGCUGGCGGCGUGUCUAAGGCAUGCAAGUCGAGCGGGCCUCGUGUUUUUAGCACGAGGUUUAGCGGCAAACGGGAGAGUAAUACACUGGAACAUACCCCCGAGACGGGGAUAACCCUGCGAAAGUGGGGCUAAUACCCGAUGGUCUUCCUAUCAUAAUUUGAUAGGAAGUAAAGAGAGUCACCUCUCGCUCGGGGAUUGGCCAGUGGCCUAUCAGGUAGUUGGUAGGGUAAUGGCCUACCAAGCCGAUGACGGGUAGCCGGCCUGAGAGGGUGUCCGGCCUCACGGGGACUGAGACACGGCCCCGACUCCUACGGGAGGCAGCAGCCAAGAAUCUUUCCCAAUGGGCGAAAGCCUGAGGAAGCGACGCCGCGUGCGGGAAGAAGCUCUUCGGAGUGUAAACCGCUUUUCUGGGGGAACAAUCCCGAUUCAAUCGGGAUGAGUGUACCCCAGGAAUAAGGGACCGCCAAUCACGUGCCAGCAGCGGCGGUAAGACGUGAGUCCCAAGCGUUAUCCGGUUUUACUGGGCGUAAAGCGUGCGUAGGCGAUCAGCUAAGUUUCUGGUCAAACCCUUUUGCUCAACAAAAGGACGGCCAGAAAUACUGGCUGAUUAGAGGCCGGGAGAGGCCAGCGGAACGUGCGGUGGAGGGGUGAAAUCCGUUGAUAUCGCACGGAACACCAAAAGCGAAGGCAGCUGGCUAGAACGGCCCUGACGCUGAGGCACGAAAGCGUGGGGAGCAAAAAGGAUUAGAUACCCUUGUAGUCCACGCCCUAAACGAUGGGUGCUAGACAUUGGAAGUGUCGACCCUUCCAGUGUCGCUUCAAAAAAGCUAACGCGUUAAGCACCCCGCCUGGGAAGUACGGCCGCAAGGCUAAAACUCAAAGGAAUAGACGGGGACCCGCACAAGCGGUGGAUCACGUGGUUUAAUUCGACGACAAGCGAGGAACCUUACCAGGGCUUGACAUGCUGGUAGUAGGAGCCCGAAAGGGUGACGAUCCUGACAUUUUUGUCAGAAAGCCAGCACAGGUGCUGCAUGGUCGUCGUCAGCUCGUGCCGUGAGGUGUACCCUUAAGUGGGGCAACGAGCGCAACCCUCGUGGCUAGUUGCUCCGAGUUUUAGCUCGGAGGUCUCUAGCCAGACUGCCGUAGAUAAUACGGAGGAAGGAGGGGACGACGUCAGAUCAGCAUGGCCCUUAUGCCCUGGGCGACACACGUGAUACAAUGGCUGGGACAAAGGGACGCGAAGCCGUAAGGCGGAGCAAAUCCCAUCAAACCCAGCCCCAGUUCGGAUUGAGGUCUGAAACUCGACCUCAUGAAGCCGGAAUCGCUAGUAACCGGAAAUCAGCCAUGUUCCGGUGAAUACGUUCUCGGGUCUUGUACUCACCGCCCGUCAAGGG
Molecule: ribosomal RNA, 1402 nt
Filed under: uncultured bacterium
Lineage: Bacteria
Description: bacterial SSU rRNA
Rfam family: Bacterial small subunit ribosomal RNA
Source: RNAcentral